CCUACGGGAGGCAGCAGUGAGGAAUAUUGGUCAAUGGACGAGAGUCUGAACCAGCCAAGUCGCGUGAAGGAUGACUGCCCUAUGGGUUGUAAACUUCUUUUAUAUGGGAAUAAAAUGUUACACGUGUGGGAUUUUGUAUGUACCAUAUGAAUAAGGAUCGGCUACCUCCGUGCCAGCAGACGCGGUAAUACGGAGGAUCCGAGCGUUAUCCGGCUUUAUUGGGUUUAAUGGGAGCGGAGGUGGAGUGUUAAGUCAGUUGUGAAAGUUUGCGGCUCAACCCUAAAAUUGCAGUUGAAACUGGCAUUCUUGAGUACAGUAGAGGUAGGCGGAAUUCGUGGUGUAGCGGUGAAAUGCUUAGAUAUCACGAAGAACUCCGAUGGCGAAGGCAGUUCACUGGACUGCAACUGACACUGAGGCUCGAAAGUGUGGGUAUCAAACAGGAUUAGAUACCCGGGUAGUC
RNAcentral lists this ribosomal RNA (460 nucleotides) under uncultured bacterium. RNAcentral's name for it is "partial 16S ribosomal RNA". It matches the Rfam family "Bacterial small subunit ribosomal RNA", at positions 338 to 795 of the family's 1533-position model. The record is from RNAcentral.